RNAcentral lists this ribosomal RNA (497 nucleotides) under uncultured bacterium. Its description in RNAcentral is "partial 16S ribosomal RNA". It matches the Rfam family "Bacterial small subunit ribosomal RNA", at positions 28 to 507 of the family's 1533-position model. The record is from RNAcentral.
GAUGAACGCUGGCGGCGUGCCUAAUACAUGCAAGUCGAGCGCACAGACGAGGAGCUUGCUCCUCUGACGUUAGCGGCGGACGGGUGAGUAACACGUGGAUAACCUACCUAUAAGACUGGGAUAACUUCGGGAAACUGGAGCUAAUACUGGAUAAUAUAUUGAACCGCAUGGUUCAAUAGUGAAAGGCGGUUAUUGUGUUUCGUAUAGCUGGCUGCUUACCGUAUUAGCUAGUUGGUAAGGUAACGGCUUACCAAGGACACGAAGCGUAGCCGACCUGGGAGGGGGGUCGCCCGCCCGGGAGCUUGGACGCGCACCCUGCGCCUGCGAGAGGGCGCAGUCGGGAACGGGACGCAGCGGGCGAAAGCCUGGCGGAACAGGGCGGCGUGAGUGAUGAAGGUCUUCGGUGCGGAAUACCCGCUUAUGAGGUAAGAACAAAUGUGAAAGUAAAUAAGGCCGUCUUGACGGUACCUGAUCAGAAAGCCACGGCUAACUACGUG